RNAcentral lists this transfer RNA (72 nucleotides) under Camelus bactrianus (Bactrian camel). It matches the Rfam family "tRNA". From Rfam's summary of the family: Transfer RNA (tRNA) molecules are approximately 80 nucleotides in length. The record is from Rfam by way of RNAcentral. Lineage: Eukaryota; Metazoa; Chordata; Mammalia; Artiodactyla; Camelidae. RNAcentral also lists the same sequence under 2 other names.
GAGAGUAUAGCUCAGUGGUAGAGCGCAUGCUUAGCAUACACAAGGUCCUGGGUUCAAUCCUCAGUACCUCCA